GAUGAACGCUGGCGGCGUGCCUAAUACAUGCAAGUCGAGCGAACAGACGAGGAGCUUGCUCCUCUGACGUUAGCGGCGGACGGGUGAGUAACACGUGGAUAACCUACCUAUAAGACUGGGAUAACUUCGGGAAACCGGAGCUAAUACCGGAUAAUAUAUUGAACCGCAUGGUUCAAUAGUGAAAGACGGUUUUGCUGUCACUUAUAGAUGGAUCCGCGCCGCAUUAGCUAGUUGGUAAGGUAACGGCUUACCAAGGCAACGAUGCGUAGCCGACCUGAGAGGGUGAUCGGCCACACUGGAACUGAGACACGGUCCAGACUCCUACGGGAGGCAGCAGUAGGGAAUCUUCCGCAAUGGGGGAGAGCCUGACGGAGCAACGCCGCGUGAGUGAUGAAGGUCUUCGGAUCGUAAAGCUCUGUUAUUAGGGAAGAACAAAUGUGUAAGUAACUAUGCACGUCUUGACGGUACCUAAUCAGAAAGCCACGGCUAACUACGUG
RNAcentral lists this ribosomal RNA (497 nucleotides) under uncultured bacterium. RNAcentral describes it as "partial 16S ribosomal RNA". It matches the Rfam family "Bacterial small subunit ribosomal RNA", at positions 28 to 507 of the family's 1533-position model. The record is from RNAcentral.